GGGGCCGUUCUGGAUUCGACUGGUAUAGGUCGAGCCUUGGUUGCACUCCGUAGCGGCAUCUACGUUAAAAGGUCCAGUUUAAUUAUAACUGCAAAAAAUAAUAACAAUUCUUACGCUUUAGCUGCUUAAUAGGCGCUUAACGUAGAUCCUCCUAGUCUUACCCGCGGGCUAGAUCUGGGUCCUAAACUUAACGGGUUACGUUGACUGGCUCCCACCUGAAGCUGGUCAAAAGAGCUUAAUCAGGUUAGCUCAGCAUGUUGGCCCUGACAGGCGGCAAGUUGUUGGGUGAAACUCAAAUAGUCUGCCUAUGAGUGUAGAGGCUGGGGUGGCGAUAUGCUAGGACGCGGGUUCGAUCCCCGCCGGCUCCA
RNAcentral lists this transfer-messenger RNA (368 nucleotides) under Levilactobacillus spicheri. It matches the Rfam family "transfer-messenger RNA". Rfam says of the family: Bacterial tmRNA, also known as 10Sa RNA or SsrA, is named for its dual tRNA and mRNA-like properties. Its role is to liberate the mRNA from a stalled ribosome. To accomplish this part of the tmRNA is used as a reading frame that ends in a translation stop signal. The record is from RNAcentral. Lineage: Bacteria; Bacillati; Bacillota; Bacilli; Lactobacillales; Lactobacillaceae.